Molecule: long non-coding RNA, 941 nt
Organism: Zingiber officinale
Lineage: Eukaryota; Viridiplantae; Streptophyta; Magnoliopsida; Zingiberales; Zingiberaceae
Exons: 2
Source: RefSeq, a predicted model, not a curated record
CGUGCCCUAAAUCCCCACUCGCGUCAUCUUCUUCCCAAUCCCGAACCCAUCACCGUCGAUUUCCUUCCUUCCCCUCUCCCUCACGCGACGCACAGCGUCUUCUCCUCCUCCCCAACUCUGUUGCGCUUUCUCUUUUCCCUCUCCUCCGCUCGUUGAAGCUCGACCCAUCGCCGGCCAGCAGCGGAGAGAUCGACGGCCGCCUCAGGCCCGAUCGCGCCAGCAGUCCGAUCCCUCUCGUGCCUCUGCCCUAGUUCGGUCCUCACCCUCUCGCCGGCCACCACCGCCGUCCCCUCUGAGCUGCUCUCCCCGCAUGAGUUGCCUUCGACCAAGAGCAAGGAUGCGCCGUCACCUCUUUCCCGAUCAUAGUGGAGGCUAUCCAUCGCUGAGGUCCAUGCCCUAGUUUUGCCAUCGCCGCCGCUCUCCCUCACGACCUGGUCAUGUUGUCUUGCCGAACGCCGACGCAUUGACACCAACCUUCUGCGUGAGAUCCUCCAGUGAGGCAUCGGAUAUCGCCAUCGCGGGAGGCGACGCUGUCAGCUUGAUGAUGCUGCCCAUCUCCCAAUUUCUACCUGUUGUCUCCUGAUCUAUCAUCACUGAUGACCAAGCGAAUGCCUUCGGUAUUCCUUGAUCCAUUGUCGUUUAAUCUUGUUGGAUCUAUGCUCAAGGUCACCUCUCGAUCUCUUCUUCUUUGAUCGAUUUCUGCUGUGAGUAUGUGUUGGGUGUCACCGAUCGCUGGAAUAUCUGAUUCUAGCCAUUCCCUGGCUUGACGAGGAAUUUCUGGCCACAAGAAGGGUUAAGACUGGAUAGGGCCACCAAUUUUGGUAGAGGUCAUCUAUUUCCUGUCUCUCACAGUUGCAAUUAGAGAGGAAGUUACUUUGGAUUUAGAUUAAGGUAAGGUAUGUUCAGUACCUAAUUAAUAGAGAAUUUGUUCUGUUGCUGCA